This is a long non-coding RNA of Agrilus planipennis (emerald ash borer), 2132 nucleotides long. RefSeq lists it as uncharacterized. The transcript has 2 exons. The record is from RefSeq and is a predicted model, not a curated record. Lineage: Eukaryota; Metazoa; Arthropoda; Insecta; Coleoptera; Buprestidae.
CAACAUUUUUCGAAUUUCUAGAUUAACCGUUCACGAGCACAGAAGUGGCUUCUUUUUAUGGUUAAUCAAGUGACUAAAUUAAUUGUACUUAAUUUUACCACCACGUAUAUGUGAGGCUAAAAGCAUUUUGUACUUAAUUUUAAAAUUAGCAAUGUGCUUUGGAUGUUUUUUCGGCGAAUUUGGUUAUUAUACGACAAUGCGGCAUUUAACAUUAUAUGGUAAGUAACCUAUCAACAUUCUAAACUAUAGACGCCUGUGGCCAUCUCUACCGGAUAAUCAGGAGUGUUUCUCAUAUCUACCUAUCAUGAAUACCUCUUCCGAUUACAUGCGUGGAUACAGGACUUCGUUUAGGAAGACCGGGGGGAAGCAAUUUUUUUGUGAUCUUUCAGAAAAUUCGGUCGUCUAGUAGGCUAGAAUUAAAAGCAGUAGUGACUUAGAUAAAAGCUUCAAACAGUACGUACAGUGUUUGAUUAGAUAAAGAGUGCGCGUGGUGAAAUGAACACUCUUAUAAGGACUUGGAUAGAAAAUAGAGCUCGAAUGAUAAAAAUUAAUAAUUAAUAUCAUGACGACCUAACUAUAAAUUGUGUCUUCUAGCGGGAGUCAAUUUUUGGUCCUUUUUAUUACUCAAUUUUAGUUUGCUUAUUUAAUGAAGCUGGACUUAUCGGUCGUCAUUUUAUCUUCGCAUACAUACUGCUUUUCUAUAUUCGGGUUUUGAUGUAAACUUAUUAAAUGGAAUAAUUAGCAGCGAUUUGAUAAGGUACUCAUAAUGGUCAACAUACAACGAAUUAUAGCUCAAUACGAAGAAAACUAUAUACACACGUGGAUGCCAAUAAGAAAAGGGUGGAUAGAAUGGUAGGGCACAGGAGUAAAAACGGUUUACUAUGAAGAAGGAGUAAAAUUAUAGAAUAAAUUUGUGCUUUUGAUUACAGAUGGAAUGCAUAUCGAAAAGAAAAAUGAGUUUGCUGCUGUUUAUCAUAAAGGAAUGGUUAUGGAAUUUGCACCUUGUACAUGGAUGUAAUACUUGAGGAAGGUUGAGUUCCAUCAGGUCCGAAUAUCGAAUUCAUACACGACAAAAUGUACCAGCAACCUGACGUAACGACAGAACGUACCAUAUAAAAAAAACGACUGACUGCCUGUGAAGAGUCUGCUAAUUGCUUGAAGAUAUUUUGGAUCCUGCGAAACGUAGCACUUUUAUUCACCGAUAUUUAUUUUUUUAUUAAGUAAUUAUUUAAGCAGGCUGAGUCCUAUAGUUUAUUCAGGCGUUGGAUUGGCAGAAUGGCCAUUUUGGUGUGCUCAAAAUCGUCAAAUGAUGGUCUCAAAUGUCAGAAUGAGAAUGCCACUGAUCAUGAGGAGACAAUAAUUUAACAGGCAUCCCCUCUCCAUUUCUUUAUCAUGUAUAUAUCAAUAUUAUGGUAACUAAGGGCCAUUUCCAGGUAAACGUGGUACCAAUCUUACAUACAAAAUUAUGAAGAUGAGGGAAGGUGGGAAGCGUCUUGAUAUAGAAAAACGAAAAUAUAACAAAAUGCAUAAUAGGUUUGGUAAGAGGAAAGACGAAAUACAAAAGGAAGCAGGAGAAACUAAUGAUAGAGACGUAGACAGAGAGUAAAACUGCAUUAAAACGUGUAUCGAUUUUGAUGCUAGAGAUCUUAAAAAAGAACGAAGGUAGGAGCCCUGGAUAGAAAGCGAGGUUGUAGGAUUAUUAAUAACAAGAUUAAAAAAGUUACAAGGCAAAUAAGUAGGAAAUAAUUUGGAAGUGUAGAAUUGGGGGGCAAUUGAGGAAAAGUGGAUUCAUAUGAGGUGUAAAGAAGUAAAACGAAUGUUUGCAGCAGGUAAAAUAGAUGAGGUUUAUAAAUAAUUAAAAGAAAUUUCAGAAGAAAAGGUACAGCAGUUGCAAUUUAAGAAACGAGGCAGGUCAAGAGUUAGGAGAUGUAUUAGAGAAUAACGGUAUGCCAUAAACACGCCAUAAUGAUAGAAGAAGUUGAUUAAGCAUUAAAAAGAUUAAAGAGUAAUAAGACUGCUUUAGGACUGAUGACUCUAUGAUCAUUCCGUAAUCUAGUGUCGAUACCGCUUCACUUUUUACUUAUAGGUACCUCGGUUGUAACAUUAAAUUAUUAUUAAAGAUAUUUUAAAUG